AUUGAACGCUGGCGGCAGGCUUAACACAUGCAAGUCGAGCGGGGGAAGGUAGCUUGCUACCGGACCUAACGGCGGACGGGUGAGUAAUGCUUAGGAAUCUGCCUAUUAGUGGGGGACAACAUCUCGAAAGGGAUGCUAAUACCGCAUACGUCCUACGGGAGAAAGCGGGGGAUCUUCGGACCUUGCGCUAAUAGAUGAGCCUAAGUCGGAUUAGCUAGUUGGUGGGGUAAAGGCCUACCAAGGCGACGAUCUGUAGCGGGUCUGAGAGGAUGUUCGGCCACACUGGGACUGAGACACGGCCCAGACUCCUACGGGAUGCAGCAGUGGGGAAGAUUGGACAAUGGGGGGAACCCUGAUCCAGCCAUGCCGCGUGUGUGAAGAAGGCCUUAUGGUUGUAAAGCACUUUAAGCGAGGAGGAGGCUACUCUAGUUAAUACCUAGGGAUAGUGGACGUUACUCGCAGAAUAAGCACCGGCUAACUCUGUGCCAGCCGCCGCGGUAA
RNAcentral lists this ribosomal RNA (501 nucleotides) under uncultured bacterium. Its description in RNAcentral is "partial 16S ribosomal RNA". It matches the Rfam family "Bacterial small subunit ribosomal RNA", at positions 30 to 523 of the family's 1533-position model. The record is from RNAcentral.